Molecule: ribosomal RNA, 463 nt
Filed under: uncultured bacterium
Lineage: Bacteria
Description: partial 16S ribosomal RNA
Rfam family: Bacterial small subunit ribosomal RNA
Source: RNAcentral
GAUGAACGCUGACAGAAUGCUUAAUACAUGCAAGUCUUUCGAACAGAUGUGCUUCCUCCUCCUCGCCACUGAGGACGGGAGAGUAACGCGAAACGAACUUAACCUGCCUUCAGGGAUAACAGACCUUAACGAAAGCUAAGCUAUGGCAAAGUCAGGUGUAGACCUGUCUAGUUUGACAAAAAGAGAUGCUGCUGGAGACACUUGUGUCCGAGUAGCUUGUUGGUGAGGUAGUUGCCCACCAAGGCGAUGAUAGGUAGCCGGCCGGAGAGGGUGGACGGCCACAAGGGGACUGAGAGACGGCACUUACGCCUACGGGAGGCAGCAGUGGGGAAUAUUGGACAAUGGGGGCAACCCUGAUCCAGCAAUUCUGUGUGCACGAUGAAGGUUUUCGGAUUGUAAAGUGCUUUCAGCAGGGAAGAAAAAAAUGACGGUACCUGCAGAAGAAGCGACGGCUAAAUACGUG